This 497-nucleotide ribosomal RNA is filed under the name uncultured bacterium. RNAcentral describes it as "partial 16S ribosomal RNA". It matches the Rfam family "Bacterial small subunit ribosomal RNA", at positions 28 to 507 of the family's 1533-position model. The record is from RNAcentral.
GAUGAACGCUGGCGGCGUGCCUAAUACAUGCAAGUCGAGCGAACGGACGAGAAGCUUGCUUCUCUGAUGUUAGCGGCGGACGGGUGAGUAACACGUGGAUAACCUACCUAUAAGACUGGUAUAACUUCGGGAAACCGGAGCUAAUACCGGAUGAUAUUUUGAACCGCAUGGUUCAAAAGUGAAAGACGGUCUUGCUGUCACUUAUAGAUGGAUCCGCGCUGCAUUAGCUAGUUGGUAAGGUUACGGCUUACCAAGGCAACGAUGCAUAGCCGACCUGAGAGGGGGAUAGGCCACACUGGAACUGAGACACGGUCCAGACUCCUACGGGAGGCAGCAGUAGGGAAUCUUCCGCAAUGGGCGAAAGCCUGACGGAGCAACGCCGCGUGAGUGAUGAAGGUCUUCGGAUCGUAAAACUCUGUUAUUAGGGAAGAACAUAUGUGUAAGUAACUGUGCACAGCUUGACGGUACCUAAUCAGAAAGCCACGGCUAACUACGUG